Molecule: ribosomal RNA, 253 nt
Filed under: uncultured bacterium
Lineage: Bacteria
Description: partial 16S ribosomal RNA
Rfam family: Bacterial small subunit ribosomal RNA
Source: RNAcentral
UACGUAGGGCGCAAGCGUUAUCCGGAAUUAUUGGGCGUAAAGAGCUCGUAGGCGGUUUGUCGCGUCUGCCGUGAAAGUCCGGGGCUCAACUCCGGAUCUGCGGUGGGUACGGGCAGACUAGAGUGAUGUAGGGGAGACUGGAAUUCCUGGUGUAGCGGUGAAAUGCGCAGAUAUCGGGAGGAACACCGGUGGCGAAGGCGGUUCUCUGGGCCUUACCUGACGCUGAGGAGCGAAAGCGUGGGGAGCGAACAGG